CCUACGGGAGGCAGCAGUGGGGAAUAUUGCGCAAUGGGCGAAAGCCUGACGCAGCGACGCCGCGUGAGGGAUGAAGGUCUUCGGAUCGUAAACCUCUGUCAGCAGGGAAGAACGGUCACUGUGCUAAUCAGCAGUGAAUUGACGGUACCUGCAAAGGAAGCACCGGCUAACUCCGUGCCAGCAGCCGCGGUAAUACGUAGGGGGCGAGCGUUAAUCGGAAUUACUGGGCGUAAAGCGAUCGUAGGCGGUAUGUCAAGUCAAGGGUGAAAUCCCCGGGCUCAACGUGGGAACUGCCUUUGAAACUGGAAGACUGGAGUGUGUGAGAGGAUAGUGGAAUUCCUGGUGUAGGAGUGAAAUGCGUAGAUAUUUGGAGGAACAUCAGUGGCGAAGGCGACUAGCUGGCACAUGACUGACGCUGAGGAGCGAAAGCGUGGGUAGCAAACAGGAUUAGAUACCCCUGUAGUC
This 465-nucleotide ribosomal RNA is filed under the name uncultured bacterium. RNAcentral's name for it is "partial 16S ribosomal RNA". It matches the Rfam family "Bacterial small subunit ribosomal RNA", at positions 338 to 795 of the family's 1533-position model. The record is from RNAcentral.